This 69-nucleotide transfer RNA is filed under the name Neotoma lepida (desert woodrat). The record is from Rfam by way of RNAcentral. Lineage: Eukaryota; Metazoa; Chordata; Mammalia; Rodentia; Cricetidae.
AGAGAUAGCUCAAUGGAUUAGAGCACUUGCUGUGCAAACAUGAGGACUUGAGUUCAGGUCUCAGUCUCU